Molecule: ribosomal RNA, 253 nt
Filed under: uncultured bacterium
Lineage: Bacteria
Description: partial 16S ribosomal RNA
Rfam family: Bacterial small subunit ribosomal RNA
Source: RNAcentral
UACGUAGGUGGCAAGCGUUGUCCGGAUUUACUGGGCGUAAAGAGCGCGCAGGCGGCUGGUCAAGUCCGAUGUGAAAUCUCCCGGCUUAACUGGGAAACUGCAUCGGAAACUGAUCGGCUUGAAGGUGGGAGAGGGUAGUGGAAUUCCCGGUGUAGUGGUGAAAUGCGUAGAUAUCGGGAGGAACACCAGUGGCGAAGGCGACUACCUGGCCUGUUCUUGACGCUGAGGCGCGAAAGCUAGGGGAGCAAACGGG